GGAGACACAGUCCACAGGCUGUCUGUAGAUGGUCUGAACUAUCCAUCGUUUCAUUUUCAUUAGAGAGGCUGAGUCUAUCCCAUCUGACUGAGGACAGGAAACAGCCUGUCACAGGUUCACCUGGACAGGAAACAGCCUGUCACAGGUUCACCUGGACAGGAAACAGCCUGUCACAGGUUCACCUGGACAGGAAACAGCCUGUCACAGGUUCACCUGGACAGGAAACAGCCUGUCACAGGUUCACCUGGACAGGAAACAGCCUGUCACAGGUUCACCUGGACAGGAAACAGCCUGUCACAGGUUCACCUGGACAGGAAACAGCCUGUCACAGGUUCACCUGGACAGGUAACAGCCUGUCACAGGUUCACCUGGACAGGAAACAGCCUGUCACAGGUUCACCUGGACAGGUAACAGCCUGUCACAGGUUCACCUGGACAGGUAACAGCCUGUCACAGGGCUACACAUAGAGACAAACAAUCACACCUACAGACAGUUCAGAAUCACCAGUUAACCUCAGCAUGUUUGUGACUGUGGGAGGAAGCUGGAGAACCUGGAGAAAACCCACACAUGUACAGGAGAACAUGGAGACUCCAUGCUGGGAUUUGGUCCUGGGAUCUUCUAGCUGUGAGGCGACCGUUCUUACCACUGAGCCACUGAGCAGCUCUGGUCUGAACUAAUGUGUCUGAACUUCACAGACUGCUGCUGUAUUCAGACUUACACUCCUCUCAGACAGCUGUCAGUCCUGUCUGCAGACGUUACAGAUGAAUUAUUUAGUCAGAACUUUAUUGAUCCACUGAUGGAAGCUGCAGAGUUCAAGCAGCAGAAACACACAAAACUCUGUUCAAGAUGAAACUAAACAGGAUGCUAAAAAAAGGCUUUAGAAUAAGAUUAGUUUUUAAAUGAAAGUUGAAAGUGAAGCUAUGUCUCGUCACCGUGCACAGAAAGAAGUCCGUGCACAGCAAUACUGUGGAUCCUGCUACAGAUGAAGAUGUGAUCAGCAGGACAUGCAGAGGAUGUGAGGAGCUGUCUGACAUGCUGUCUUCCCUCCCAUUAUUCAUCCAUUCACUGCUGCCAGCAGCGUGAUCCAAUGAAAACAUGAACCAAUAAUGCAGACGCUGAUGGAGGUCAGAAGAUGUUGUGCAGACCGGCUGUAGUAGCUGCUCCACCACAUGGAGCCUCCUGAAGUCUGUUUGCUCACCUUUAAACACAGACUCUAACAUCUGCUGUUAGAAGCUUUGGGUUCAUCCUUUGCUCAGACAGGAAGUUCUGACAGCAGCUGGUCCUUCAAGACGUUCUACCCCAACAGCAAAAACUGGAUUUCUGGUUCCUUAAGUGUGUUUUUUAAAGGCCAGAAGCUUGAUCUAACAUUUCAGUACAGCGAGCAGAGCAGACAGAUGUGUUCUUUAAACACAUGUAUGUUAUAACUGGUCCUAGUGGGAUAAAAACAGGAUCUACUUUCAUCUGUCUGCUUAGAAAGGUGAGCAACUUCAGAGCAGCAGAAAUAAAAAUCCAAAGUGACGUUUCUUAACUGUGACUGCUCCUAAAUAAAACGGUAUGAGGUGC
Acanthochromis polyacanthus (spiny chromis) is the source of this 1563-nucleotide long non-coding RNA. RefSeq lists it as uncharacterized. NCBI's taxonomy places the organism in Eukaryota, Metazoa, Chordata, Actinopteri, Pomacentridae. The transcript has 3 exons. The record is from RefSeq and is a predicted model, not a curated record.